Molecule: small RNA, 1287 nt
Filed under: Pongo abelii (Sumatran orangutan)
Lineage: Eukaryota; Metazoa; Chordata; Mammalia; Primates; Hominidae
Description: retained intron
Source: RNAcentral
AGCCGGGCUGGGCUGGGCUACGCGGCUGGAGCCGGGCUCUAGCCAGAGCAAGACCCUGAUGGCUGCGGUGUUUCUGGUAACGCUUUAUGAAUACUCGCCGCUUUUCUACAUCGCGGUGGUCUUUACCUGCUUCAUCGUGACCACCGGCCUGGUAUUGGGAUGGUUUGGUUGGGAUGUUCCAGUAAUUCUGAGAAAUUCAGAAGAGACCCAGUUCAGCACAAGAGUUUUCAAAAAGCAAAUGAGACAAGUCAAGAAUCCUUUUGGCGUAGAGAUCACUAAUCCAUCUUCAGCUUCAAUUACAACUGGCAUAACCUUGACAACAGAUUGCCUUGAAGAUAGCCUCCUUACAUGCUACUGGGGGUGCAGUGUUCAAAAAUUAUAUGAAGCUCUGCAGAAGCACGUUUAUUGCUUCAGAAUAAGCACUCCCCAAGCAUUAGAAGAUGCUCUGUAUAGUGAAUAUCUCUAUCAGGAACAGUAUUUUAUUAAAAAGGAUAGCAAAGAAGAAAUAUAUUGCCAGUUGCCAAGAGAUACAAAAAUUGAAGACUUUGGUACAGUACCCAGAUCUCGCUAUCCAUUGGUAGCGCUAUUGACCUUAGCUGAUGAGGAUGACCGGGAAAUUUAUGAUAUUAUUUCCAUGGUGUCAGUGAUUCAUAUUCCUGAUAGGACUUAUAAACUAUCCUGCAGAAUAUUGUAUCAAUAUUUACUCUUGGCUCAAGGUCAAUUUCAUGAUCUUAAGCAACUUUUCAUGUCUGCAAAUAAUUUCACUCCCUCCAACAAUUCCUCUUCAGAAGAAAAAAACACAGACAGAAGUUUGUUGGAAAAGGUGGGACUCUCUGAAAGUGAAGUUGAGCCAUCGGAAGAGAACAGCAAGGACUGUGUUGUUUGCCAGAAUGGGACUGUGAACUGGGUGCUCUUACCAUGCAGACACACAUGCCUGUGUGAUGGCUGUGUGAAGUAUUUUCAGCAGUGCCCAAUGUGCAGGCAGUUUGUUCAGGAAUCUUUUGCACUUUGCAGUCAAAAAGAGCAAGAUAAAGACAAACUGAAGACUCUUUGAAGACAUUGUAACACUGAAAAGUACACUUUCUACUAAACAUGCAGAAAUUGAUGAUCUUGGAAUUCAUCAUAACAUGGAAUCUAUUGUACUGACCAUCAAUGAAAAUUCUAUUUUAACUUCCUAUUUGUAUGGUACUUGGAUGAUAAAAAUUAAUUAUUCCUUUCUGCUUAGUGAAUGAAUAUUGGAAUCCACCUGUGUUGAUACAUAAAAAUUCAUUCAACUCUUGAAAAGAA